RNAcentral lists this long non-coding RNA (681 nucleotides) under Homo sapiens (human). Its description in RNAcentral is "non-protein coding ZFAS1:20". The stretch from base 209 to 295 matches the Rfam family "ZNFX1 antisense RNA 1 conserved region 3". The record is from RNAcentral. Lineage: Eukaryota; Metazoa; Chordata; Mammalia; Primates; Hominidae.
AUUCAUAAUUGGAAACUGUGACUACAUUUGGCAUUAUAUGAGGGGCAGCUUUUUUCCUCAUCUGAAAAAGGAGUCUCUUUUCUUCCCCCUGGGAAUAUCUCUGGUUAGAGCAGCCAGCGGGUACAGAAUGGAUUUUGGAAGAGGGAGUCACCACUGGACCUCCAAGGAAGCCACGUGCAGACAUCUACAACCUUCGAUCUCCUGACGAGUUUAUUGUUGGCCAAAACCAGGCUUUGAUUGAACCAGGAUGAAUGCGGGUGUUGGAAGUAGAAUAUAUAUAUACAUAUAAAAUUGGUUGGGAGCCACGUGUACCAGUGUGUGUUGAUCUUGGCUUGAUUCAGUCUGCCUUGUAACAGAUUUUGCCUGCCUGAGCUCCUCUAGUAGUGGCCACAAUUGCCAGAGAAGAUAGAGCAGGUCUCUCCCAGGACUUGCAGCUCCAGCCUGUGUCUGCAAGGGGUGUUGUAGCGACUGAUUUCUCCAGCCCAUGGCAAGAGGCCUUCAUCUUGUGCCUGGAAAGAGGGAAGUACAAGUCCGUCUGGCAGAGAUGGUGCAGAUGGGCAAGUUUUUCAGACACUGCAGCCAGCACUUCUGGGACCGCAGCAGUGGAGCCUGCAGAGGGCCGGUUCUCCAGGCAUGGGCUACUGACAUUGUCACUUCCAGACUCCUUAUGCAAUAAACAAC